Long non-coding RNA from Strigops habroptila (Kakapo), 1267 nucleotides. RefSeq lists it as uncharacterized. The record is from RefSeq and is a predicted model, not a curated record. The transcript has 2 exons. NCBI's taxonomy places the organism in Eukaryota, Metazoa, Chordata, Aves, Psittaciformes, Psittacidae.
GAAAGCAACUCUCACAUAUGGUCUGUAGCGUGCAAGGUCCCUUUUCGGUGGUCUGCAGAAGUAAAAAUACCCCACUUGAUGACCCAAGCAGCAGAAAGACAUGGCAACAUAUGAGCGAUGCUACAAAAACACACUCCUGCUCCAAAGCAACAAGCCAGAGGAUACAUGGGAAGGCUAAACUCUCUUCACUUCAAUUUUUAACUGCAGAUACCACUGUUUACAGAGGUCCUGCCAGGAGCCUGCUCCAGCGCAGGCUUCCCACAAGGUCACAGCCUCCUUCAGGAAUCCCCCUGCUCUGGGAUGGGGUCCUCCCCGGCCUGCAGGUGGAUCUGCUCCUCCAUGGACCUCCAUGGGCUUUAGGGGCACAGCCUGCCUCACCAUGGGCUGCAUGAUGGGCUGCAGGGGAAUUUCUGCUGUGGUGUCUGGAGCACCUUCUGCUCUCCUUCCUCAUGGACCCUUGUGUCUGCAGAGCUGUUUCUAUCACAUAUUCUUACUCCUUUUUACGGCUGCAUUUGUGUGGGGUUUUUUCCCCCUUCUGAAAUCUGUUAUCCCAGAGGUGCUACCACUGUUGCUGAUGGGCUUGGCUUUGGCCAGCAGUGCAUCCAUCUUGGAGCCGGCUGGCAUUGGCUCAAUUGGACAUUGGGGAAGCUUUUAGCAGCUUCUCACAGAAGCCACCCCUGUAGCAUCCCUGCUACCAAAACCUUGACAUGCAAACCCAAUACCUUUUGUUUUGCCAGGGGUGCCUGCCAGAUUCCCAGGCUGCAGGCAAAAGCCACUUCCCUGAAAUCUCCCAUGCCUGCCCCUCACAGUCCUGAUAUAGGCUCUCAGCCUGUAAGGGCCAGUCACUGAAACCUGGUACCCAGCCAGGGAAACGUGCUAUAAACAUGAACCUACAGAAAACAGCUGCCUAACUGCUGGCGUGCUACGGAAGAGCAUGGUUAAAGAGUAGAGGAGAAGGCAUCCCAGUCUGCCCUUAAUUACAGUACCUUAACCACACUCUGCAGUUUUCAGCCAAGGCUGCUUGUUGUCUUGGGAUGAAUGCCUGUAAAUUUGAAGUAAGUAAACGACUUCAUUGUGAGGAUUUGGCUUGGGAGAGCCUUAACAGUAUCCUGAAGAGUUAUUUAAAUGUCAAUAACGUUUCUAAUUUGGGAUAUAGGAAUUAAACAAACCUCUGUGGAAUCAGCAAGUUACUAGUUUAAGUUUGUGCGGCUGUGAACAAAUAUGUGUGACAGAGAAAACUUCUAGUCAAAUAAAAGCAACAAACUCA